UGGGGAAUAUUGGACAAUGGGGGCAACCCUGAUCCAGCAAUGCCGCGUGUGUGAAGAAGGCCUGCGGGUUGUAAAGCACUUUCAGUAGAGAAGAAAAGCCUAGGGUUAAUACCCCUGAGUCUUGACGUAACCUACAGAAGAAGCACCGGCUAACUCCGUGCCAGCAGCCGCGGUAAUACGGAGGGCGCUAGCGUUGUUCGGAAUCACUGGGCGUAAAGGGCGCGUAGGCGGCUGCUUAAGUCGGGGGUGAAAGCCCGGGGCUCAACCUCGGAACUGCCUUCGAGACUGGGCGGCUAGAGACCGGAAGAGGAGGGUGGAAUACCCAGUGUAGAGGUGAAAUUCGUAGAUAUUGGGUGGAACACCAGUGGCGAAAGCGGCUCUCUGGUCCGGUUCUGACGCUGAGGCGCGAAAGCGUGGGGAGCAAACAGGAUUAGAUACCCCUGUAGUCC
Molecule: ribosomal RNA, 449 nt
Filed under: uncultured prokaryote
Description: bacterial SSU rRNA
Rfam family: Bacterial small subunit ribosomal RNA
Source: RNAcentral